RNAcentral lists this ribosomal RNA (478 nucleotides) under uncultured bacterium. RNAcentral's name for it is "partial 16S ribosomal RNA". It matches the Rfam family "Bacterial small subunit ribosomal RNA", at positions 28 to 523 of the family's 1533-position model. The record is from RNAcentral.
GACGAACGCUGGCGGCGUGCUUAACACAUGCAAGUCGAACGGUAAGGCCCUUCGGGGUACACGAGUGGCGAACGGGUGAGUAACACGUGGGUGAUCUGCCCUGCACUUCGGGAUAAGCCUGGGAAACUGGGUCUAAUACCGGAUAGGACUCCUGGCUUCAUGGUUGGGGGUGGAAAGCUUUUGCGGUGUGGGAUGGGCCCGCGGCCUAUCAGCUUGUUGGUGGGGUAAUGGCCUACCAAGGCGACGACGGGUAGCCGGCCUGAGAGGGUGGCCGGUCACACUGGGACUGAGAUACGGCCCAGACUCCUACGGGAGGCAGCAGUGGGGAAUAUUGCACAAUGGGCGCAAGCCUGAUGCAGCGACGCCGCGUGAGGGAUGACGGCCUUCGGGUUAUAAACCUCUUUCAGCUAUGACGAAGCGCAAGUGACGGUAGUAGCAGAAGAAGGACCGGCCAACUACGUGCCAGCCGCCGCAGUAA